UUGUUUCAGGAGUAAAUAUUUUAAAUUUGGAACAACACAGAGAAGAUUAAGAUGGCCCCUGAACAAGGAUGACACUCAAAUUUGUGAAAUGUUCCAUAUUUUU
Molecule: small nuclear RNA, 103 nt
Organism: Monodelphis domestica (gray short-tailed opossum)
Lineage: Eukaryota; Metazoa; Chordata; Mammalia; Didelphimorphia; Didelphidae
Source: Ensembl